UGGAAGGGGAAUUUUCAUACAAAAACAACGGAAGUAUCCGUGCAUAAUAUAGGAGUGACUGAAAAAGCUAUGGGACUUGUGUACAUAACGUCCUAACAGUGGGAGAAAAACCCGGCUGAGUGGUGAGAAGACUAAGUACCUCCUGAUAAAGAUUGCAAUUCUCUUCAAGUCUACGUAUUUCAGCUGAGCCCAUAGUUCUUGUUGAUGUGAAAACAUUCCUAAUGAGAUUGAAGUGAAGAAUCUGAUCUCUGGACUUGAUCACAGUUACUUCUUAAUCAAGGAACCAGUUGAAAGAAUAUGAAUGGCAGUAGCUAUCUCCUGAAUCACUGCCCAGUUGCCAGCUGCAAGUCCUCACUCCAAAGAAGUAAGUGUCCACAGCACAAAGCCAGAAGAAUCUCUGAAGGGCUAUUAUAG
Molecule: long non-coding RNA, 414 nt
Filed under: Mustela putorius furo (domestic ferret)
Lineage: Eukaryota; Metazoa; Chordata; Mammalia; Carnivora; Mustelidae
Description: lncRNA (ENSMPUG00000029008.1)
Source: RNAcentral